UACGUAGGGGGCAAGCGUUGUCCGGAAUCAUUGGGCGUAAAGAGCGUGUAGGCGGCCCGGUAAGUCCGCCGUGGAAGUCCAGGGCUCAACCCUGGAAUGCCGGUGGAAACUGCCGGGCUGGAGUCCGGAAGAGGCGAGUGGAAUUCCUGGUGUAGCGGUGAAAUGCGCAGAUAUCAGGAGGAACACCAAUGGCGAAGGCAGCUCGCUGGGACGGUACUGACGCUGAGACGCGAAAGCGUGGGGAGCAAACAGG
This 253-nucleotide ribosomal RNA is filed under the name uncultured bacterium. RNAcentral describes it as "partial 16S ribosomal RNA". It matches the Rfam family "Bacterial small subunit ribosomal RNA", at positions 524 to 776 of the family's 1533-position model. The record is from RNAcentral.